Molecule: long non-coding RNA, 576 nt
Filed under: Daucus carota (carrot)
Lineage: Eukaryota; Viridiplantae; Streptophyta; Magnoliopsida; Apiales; Apiaceae
Description: long non-coding RNA (DCAR_LNC001361)
Source: RNAcentral
AAGUUAUGCAUUAUUGUUGAGUAUAGAUCGGUAAGAGUAUGAGGUAUGCUGGUUCCUCCUAACUAAUAGCAUGCCCCGAAUUUUGUGGACCAUGAUCGUUUUUGUUGCAAAUUGAUUUGCUGAUCCAUUUUCUUGGUGAGUGUAUGGAUACUAAUGCCUACACGCAUGAGAGGAGAUAUCAAUCCCAUUUCCAUGACUUAGAAUGACCUAAUAGUUUGAGCUUAUAGGUGUUACACAGUGUGUCUCUGAUAGUCUGACAUAAUAUGGUCUUAAUUGGAAUUAUUGCAGCUAACAUACUCCAGCAAUGCGUCUCUGAUUAAAUGUUUGCAGAAGUAAGAAUUUUUAUGCCAUUUUGAGAUGCUAAGGUUUAUAGUUAAUUGCUCUUUGUGGGUUAAAUUGUAUUCUUCAUACAAUAGGCCUAAGAGAGACUUUGGGUCGUCGCUGUACUGCCAAAAACAUAGAGUCAGAUAAAUUUACUUCUAUUACUUGGUCCGGAUUGUAAAAAUAUUGGGCCUGUUUAGCUAAGCUUCUCUUUUCAGCUUCUUGUCAUGUAAAUCUGAAUCAGAUUAUUCGUAC